Molecule: ribosomal RNA, 157 nt
Filed under: Alternaria tenuissima
Lineage: Eukaryota; Fungi; Ascomycota; Dothideomycetes; Pleosporales; Pleosporaceae
Description: 5.8S ribosomal RNA
Rfam family: 5.8S ribosomal RNA
About the family: 5.8S ribosomal RNA (5.8S rRNA) is a component of the large subunit of the eukaryotic ribosome. It is transcribed by RNA polymerase I as part of the 45S precursor that also contains 18S and 28S rRNA.
Source: RNAcentral
CAACUCUCAACAACGGAUCUCUUGGUUCUGGCAUCGAUGAAGAACGCAGCGAAAUGCGAUUAGUAGUGUGAAUUGCAGAAUUCAGUGAAUCAUCGAAUCUUUGAACGCACAUUGCGCCCUUUGGUAUUCCAAAGGGCAUGCCUGUUCGAGCGUCAUU